This 762-nucleotide ribosomal RNA is filed under the name uncultured bacterium. RNAcentral describes it as "bacterial SSU rRNA". It matches the Rfam family "Bacterial small subunit ribosomal RNA", at positions 8 to 782 of the family's 1533-position model. The record is from RNAcentral.
AGAGUUUGAUCAUGGCUCAGAAUGAACGCUGGCGGCACGGAUUAGGCAUGCAAGUCGAGCGCGACCCCCCGCUUCGGCGGGGCAGUAGAGCGGCGAACGGGUGAGUAACACGUGAGUAACCUGCCCACUGGACCGGGAUAGCCCCGGGAAACCGGGAUUAAUACCGGAUACGCCGCGCACCGCGCCUGCGGUGUUGGGGAAACGGAGUUAUCCGCCUGUGGAGGGGCUCGCGCCCCAUUAGCUUGUUGGUAGGGUAACGGCCUACCGAGGCGAAGAUGGGUAGCUGGUCUGAGAGGAUGGUCAGUCACACUGGGACUGAGACACUGCCCAGACUCCUACGGGAGGCUGCAGUCGAGAAUCUUCGGCAAUGGGCGCAAGCCUGACCGAGCGAUGCCGCGUGAGGGAAGAAGGCCUUCGGGUCGUAAACCUCUGUCAGGAGGGACGAAAUUUGACGGUACCUCCAGAGGAAGCCACGGCUAACUACGUGCCAGCAGCCGCGGUAACACGUAGGUGGCGAGCGUUAUUCGGAAUCACUGGGCGUAAAGGGUCCGCAGGGGGUCUGCCAAGUCCGGUGUGAAAGCCCGCGGCUCAACCGCGGAAGUGCAUUGGAAACUGGCGGACUCGAGUACAGGAGAGGAGAGCGGAAUUCCCGGUGUAGCGGUGGAAUGCGUAGAUAUCGGGAGGAACACCUACGGCGAAGGCAGCUCUCUGGCCUGUUACUGACCCUGAGGGACGAAAGCGUGGGUAGCAAACAGGAUUAGA